UGUUUUUUUUAUGGUUAAAAUAUAAUGGUUGUUCCACACUUUUAUUUAGAUUCAAAAAUAACAAAUAACGUUUUUGUCGUUUUAGUGUUGGUGUAUAUGAUAAGCAAUAAUGUUAUGGCUUGUAAAUUGAAUAGAAAAUUGAGUUUUCUACGCAAUGAUGAUAAUAGUUCAUAUCACUUUGAGUUAUCCAGUAAACCAGUGGAAACAACUACAGAAUGCAUUGAAGAAGGACCUAUAGUUCUACAGCCUGUAUACAUAAAACUAUUCAGAUAUGCAAAAAGACCAAGGAAUUUACGAGCAGCAAAACUCAAUCACAGACGAUAUUUUAAUAAUUAAAAUAU
Long non-coding RNA from Aricia agestis (brown argus), 341 nucleotides. RefSeq lists it as uncharacterized. The transcript has 2 exons. The record is from RefSeq and is a predicted model, not a curated record. NCBI's taxonomy places the organism in Eukaryota, Metazoa, Arthropoda, Insecta, Lepidoptera, Lycaenidae.